Molecule: ribosomal RNA, 253 nt
Filed under: uncultured bacterium
Lineage: Bacteria
Description: partial 16S ribosomal RNA
Rfam family: Bacterial small subunit ribosomal RNA
Source: RNAcentral
GACAGAGGGUGCAAACGUUGUUCGGAUUUACUGGGCGUAAAGCGCGUGUAGGCGGCUUGGCAAGUCGGAUGUGAAAGCCCACGGCUCAACCGUGGAAGCGCAUCCGAAACUGCUUCGCUCGAGUCUCGGAGAGGAAGGUGGAAUGCUUGGUGUAGAGGUGAAAUUCGUAGAUAUUAGGAAGAACACCAGUGGCGAAGGCGGCUCACUGGCCCGGUACUGACGCUGAGGCGCGAAAGCGUGGGGAGCAAACAGG